UACGGAGGAUGCAAGCGUUAUCCGGAAUUAUUGGGCGUAAAGAGCUCGUAGGCGGUUUGUUGCGUCCGCUGUGAAAACUCGGGGCUUAACCCCGGGCCUGCAGUGGGUACGGGCAGACUAGAGUGCGGUAGGGGAGACUGGAAUUCCUGGUGUAGCGGUGAAAUGCGCAGAUAUCAGGAGGAACACCGGUGGCGAAGGCGGGUCUCUGGGCCGUAACUGACGCUGAGGAGCGAAAGCGUGGGGAGCGAACAGG
This 253-nucleotide ribosomal RNA is filed under the name uncultured bacterium. Its description in RNAcentral is "partial 16S ribosomal RNA". It matches the Rfam family "Bacterial small subunit ribosomal RNA", at positions 524 to 776 of the family's 1533-position model. The record is from RNAcentral.